CUGGCAUGGAGAAAAAAAAAAGAUAAGACAAAAGCUCUCCCCCUCCCAGGUGUCCUUAAAAAGUUAACUUGCCCAGAGCAGAGGAAAAAAAAAAAAAAAACAGAAACAAAAACUGCUUUUUGUGAACUUCUGCAGACUGUGAACUUCUGAGCUUACAUGUUGGGUACAAAAUUCUGAAACUACCUAAACUUGGGGUUCAGGGGAUUAAUUGAUU
Molecule: long non-coding RNA, 214 nt
Filed under: Marmota monax (woodchuck)
Lineage: Eukaryota; Metazoa; Chordata; Mammalia; Rodentia; Sciuridae
Source: RNAcentral